Molecule: small RNA, 82 nt
Organism: Firmicutes bacterium CAG:475
Lineage: Bacteria; Bacillati; Bacillota
Rfam family: Gut-1 RNA
Source: Rfam
AAGUGAUAUGCACGCAAAGUGUGCGUGAUAUUGUUGCCUAUGGCAACAGUGAUAUUUGCGCUUUGCGCAAGUGAUAUUGCAA